RNAcentral lists this ribosomal RNA (253 nucleotides) under uncultured bacterium. RNAcentral's name for it is "partial 16S ribosomal RNA". It matches the Rfam family "Bacterial small subunit ribosomal RNA", at positions 524 to 776 of the family's 1533-position model. The record is from RNAcentral.
UACGAAGGGGGCUAGCGUUGCUCGGAAUCACUGGGCGUAAAGCGCACGUAGGCGGAUUGUUAAGUCAGGGGUGAAAGCCUGGAGCUCAACUCCAGAACUGCCCUUGAUACUGGCAAUCUCGAGUCCGGAAGAGGUAAGUGGAACUCCGAGUGUAGAGGUGAAAUUCGUAGAUAUUCGGAAGAACACCAGUGGCGAAGGCGGCUUACUGGUCCGGUACUGACGCUGAGGUGCGAAAGCGUGGGGAGCGAACGGG